RNAcentral lists this non-coding RNA (26 nucleotides) under Homo sapiens (human). The record is from RNAcentral. Lineage: Eukaryota; Metazoa; Chordata; Mammalia; Primates; Hominidae.
UCCCUGCAAAGUGUGGGUAAGGCCAC